UUUAGUGGAAAUCUUCGGCGAUGAACCGUGCGUCUUCUUCGUUACAUUCCUUGGGCAGGUUGCGUGAAUGACCACAUGCAAAUGGCAGCAUGCCACAGGAAAUUGUGAGGGGCAUCUACAGCAGACAGAGCAUCAUCUCAUUGGCACACCAUCCUGAUGUCAACAAGAAGCCAUUUAAGCCCUUCCAUUGACAAGGGCAAAAUGCAACCAAAAUGCACUUCGAAAGAGCAUGAAGUGCAGCACACACUCAGCAAUCAUUCAAAAUUCUCUCACAACAGAGCUGUGGCUUGGUCAAUCAUAGAGCUUCACUACUAUCGUACUAAAAGGUAGCAAUGCUCACUACAGUGAGACUGUGGAGGUAAAUGCAUUUGCAUCCCCUCCCUUCAUGCAGGAUCAAUGAUGUCCUUCGCUCUCUGUCUUGGCCUUGGCCUUUGCUGCAGUUUUCUGCAUAUGUGAAGUGAACAGGUCAUGCAACAAGAAUGAAUCUGAAUCACACACGAUCUCAGCAAUGAAGGGGACGUCGUACUUGCUAGAUCCAAGAUAAGUAAUGAACGAUGAGACAAGGCCUUGCACAGUAUUGAACAAUCUGCAAAGUCAGCUCACCUGCAGGCUCGAGAGCUUCCAGCUUCCAUAAAUGACGCCAACCCCCAAAGCAGACACUCGCAGCACCUGAUAUCCAAGGGACACUUUGUGAACACAGCAGCAGGGAAUAUUGUCCAAGAUCAGGCAACCCUAAGAGUAGCAAAAAGAAGUCCCCCCAGUUGAUCGUCACUCACCGAUGCGAGCGCGCUCUUGCCGGAGUAAGGAUUCACCAUAGUGUAUGUGAGCAAUACGUCAGUGGUGUGAGCAGUACUAUCACACUAAAACAAGGCGAUAUGUGUGUCUAACUAUCUUGAUCUUCCCAUUCCCUGCACCCACCUCGACCGGACAAUUCAAAAAAAAGAGGAAGGAGCAGGCUCACUCUGGAAUCAGCUUAGAUUGAGAGACGUGUGUCGUCUUGUGCAAUUUCUGGCACAUGGCACUUCUGGUCGGCUAUGUUAUGACGAGAUCAUCAGUCAU
Molecule: long non-coding RNA, 1059 nt
Filed under: Coccomyxa subellipsoidea
Lineage: Eukaryota; Viridiplantae; Chlorophyta; Trebouxiophyceae; Coccomyxaceae
Description: long non-coding RNA (CSUB_LNC000257)
Source: RNAcentral